Molecule: ribosomal RNA, 677 nt
Filed under: Staphylococcus aureus
Lineage: Bacteria; Bacillati; Bacillota; Bacilli; Caryophanales; Staphylococcaceae
Description: bacterial SSU rRNA
Rfam family: Bacterial small subunit ribosomal RNA
Source: RNAcentral
UUUAUGGAGAGUUUGAUCCUGGCUCAGGAUGAACGCUGGCGGCGUGCCUAAUACAUGCAAGUCGAGCGAACGGACGAGAAGCUUGCUUCUCUGAUGUUAGCGGCGGACGGGUGAGUAACACGUGGAUAACCUACCUAUAAGACUGGGAUAACUUCGGGAAACCGGAGCUAAUACCGGAUAAUAUUUUGAACCGCAUGGUUCAAAAGUGAAAGACGGUCUUGCUGUCACUUAUAGAUGGAUCCGCGCUGCAUUAGCUAGUUGGUAAGGUAACGGCUUACCAAGGCAACGAUGCAUAGCCGACCUGAGAGGGUGAUCGGCCACACUGGAACUGAGACACGGUCCAGACUCCUACGGGAGGCAGCAGUAGGGAAUCUUCCGCAAUGGGCGAAAGCCUGACGGAGCAACGCCGCGUGAGUGAUGAAGGUCUUCGGAUCGUAAAACUCUGUUAUUAGGGAAGAACAUAUGUGUAAGUAACUGUGCACAUCUUGACGGUACCUAAUCAGAAAGCCACGGCUAACUACGUGCCAGCAGCCGCGGUAAUACGUAGGUGGCAAGCGUUAUCCGGAAUUAUUGGGCGUAAAGCGCGCGUAGGCGGUUUUUUAAGUCUGAUGUGAAAGCCCACGGCUCAACCGUGGAGGGUCAUUGGAAACUGGAAAACUUGAGUGCAGAAGAGGAAA